AGCAGAUGCGGUGUCAUGGUCUGAGGGGGGGUGUCCGAACCCAGACUGGACCCAGGCUCUGAGGACCCCGAGAGGCAGGAAGCCCCUUGGAGGCCUGGUGGGACAGUGGCCCCGGGGGUGUUUGCUCAGAGUUUUCUCUCAACAAGUAGGUCUGGGGUGGAUUCCAGAGAGUUCUUCCUCGCAUUCUCACUGGUGUAGGUAGACAGAGGUGGAGACCAGUCGGGGAGAAACGGAGGGGAGUCGGCAGAGGCCUCAACUCCUGUCCAGCCAGCUUUAUGGGAGAGACUUUUGAGUGCUUAUGUUGCAUGGAGCUGGGGGAUGGGAGGGACAUCUGACAGAUGACGAGAUGCUUAGCACAUGACCAACGACAAAAGCUGGUUAGCAGGCAAAGCCGGCUCAGGGCCCGUGGGCCCCGGGCAGGGUGGCUCCCUCAGGAGGAGCCCUGUCCCACAGCCGGGCUCUCACACGGGGCCCUGACACCACCCCAGCCACAGCAGCCCCCCGGCUCUUCUCAUGGAGAUCACCCUCCCCUCCCAACCCAGCGACGCCAGCAUCUUUGACUGAGUUCUGGAAAAAUUCCUUUCUCCUUAACUAUGCCAAGAAAGGGCUGAAAAUUUCCAAGAGGAACACUUCACUGAGACCCGGAGGGGAAAACCCAGGGGCAGAGGAACGGUGAGUUUCCAGAGUGCAGACCAUCUGACCACACGUCUAGUGGAAGAUCACUUGCUGGGCAUGGUGGAGGAGGGGUGUCUGUGCCCCGGAAUUCCUUGACUCAGCCAGGCCUGGCGGGGAGCCUUGCUUCCAGCCCGGCAGGGACAUCCGUCGUCGUCCCGAUGAACUGGGAUCUUUUGAAUGAUCCAUCUGUCCUCCACGGAGCUGUGAGGAACAGAGUCCCAGGAGGGGAGGCAGACAGGACUGAGAACGGGGAUGACCCCAUAGCAAUCGCCCAGGACCGGUGUGACCCGGUGACUCAGAUGACCACCCACUGCAAGAUCCACCAUGCCAAUCCACUUUCCCUCCAGACCAACGGUUCUCAAAGUCUGGUCCCUGGACCAGCAGCAUCAGCAUCACCUGGGAACUUGUUAGAAAUGCAGAUUCUGAAGGCACCUGGGUGGCUCAGUCGUCAAGCGUCUGCCUUCGGCUCAGGUCAUGAUCCCAGCGUUCUGGGAUCGAGCCCCGCAUCGGGCUCCCUGCUCAAUGGGGAACCUGCUUCUCCC
RNAcentral lists this long non-coding RNA (1217 nucleotides) under Ursus maritimus (polar bear). RNAcentral describes it as "lncRNA (ENSUMAG00000024935.1)". The record is from RNAcentral. Lineage: Eukaryota; Metazoa; Chordata; Mammalia; Carnivora; Ursidae.